GCCGGGUGCCGGUGGCAUGUGCCUGUAAUCCAAGUCACUGGGAGGCUGAGGUUGGUGGAUCAAGUGAGCUGAGGAGCUCUGGCUGCAGCACAAUAUGUCGAACGGGUCUCCACGCUAAGUUUGGUAUCGAUAUGGUGUUCCUGGGGGAUACCGGGACCACCAGGUUGUCUAAGGAGGGGUGAACUGGCCCAGGUUGGAGAAGAAGCAGGUCAAAUCCCCCGUGCUGUCCAGUAGUGGGAUAAUACCUGUGAGUAGAUGCUGCAAUGCAGCCUUGGCAAAACAUCGAGACCUAAUCUUUC
RNAcentral lists this signal recognition particle RNA (299 nucleotides) under Oncorhynchus kisutch (coho salmon). RNAcentral describes it as "Metazoan signal recognition particle RNA (ENSOKIG00005022677.1)". It matches the Rfam family "Metazoan signal recognition particle RNA". Rfam says of the family: The signal recognition particle (SRP) is a universally conserved ribonucleoprotein. It is involved in the co-translational targeting of proteins to membranes. Lineage: Eukaryota; Metazoa; Chordata; Actinopteri; Salmoniformes; Salmonidae. The record is from Rfam by way of RNAcentral.